UACGUAGGGGGCAAGCGUUGUCCGGAAUCAUUGGGCGUAAAGAGCGCGUAGGCAGCAUUGCAAGUCGGAUGUGAAAUCCCUCGGCUUAACCAAGGAAGUGCAUCCGAAACUGCAGUGCUUGAGUACUUAAGAGGAUCGCGGAAUUCCCGGUGUAGAGGUGAAAUUCGUAGAUAUCGGGAGGAACACCAGUGGCGGAGGCGGCGAUCUGGGAAGAUACUGACGCUGAGGUGCGAAAGCGUGGGGAGCAAACAGG
RNAcentral lists this ribosomal RNA (253 nucleotides) under uncultured bacterium. RNAcentral's name for it is "partial 16S ribosomal RNA". It matches the Rfam family "Bacterial small subunit ribosomal RNA", at positions 524 to 776 of the family's 1533-position model. The record is from RNAcentral.